RNAcentral lists this ribosomal RNA (63 nucleotides) under Trichophyton interdigitale. Its description in RNAcentral is "partial 28S ribosomal RNA". It matches the Rfam family "Eukaryotic large subunit ribosomal RNA", at positions 1 to 60 of the family's 3401-position model. The record is from RNAcentral. Lineage: Eukaryota; Fungi; Ascomycota; Eurotiomycetes; Onygenales; Arthrodermataceae.
GGUUGACCUCGGAUCAGGUAGGGAUACCCGCUGAACUUAAGCAUAUCAAUAAGCGGAGGAAAG